This 253-nucleotide ribosomal RNA is filed under the name uncultured bacterium. Its description in RNAcentral is "partial 16S ribosomal RNA". It matches the Rfam family "Bacterial small subunit ribosomal RNA", at positions 524 to 776 of the family's 1533-position model. The record is from RNAcentral.
UACGUAGGUGGCAAGCGUUGUCCGGAUUUACUGGGCGUAAAGAGCGCGCAGGCGGUCGUUCAAGUCGCGUGUGAAAGCCCCCGGCUCAACUGGGGAGGGUCACGCGAUACUGAUCGACUGGAAGGCAGGAGAGGGUAGUGGAAUUCCCGGUGUAGUGGUGAAAUGCGUAGAUAUCCGGAGGAACACCAGUGGCGAAGGCGACUACCUGGCCUGUUCUUGACGCUGAGGCGCGAAAGCUAGGGGAGCAAACGGG